UACGUAGGCAGCGAGCGUUGUUCGGAGUUACUGGGCGUAAAGCGUGCGUAGGCGGUGGUCCAAGUCUGGCGUGAAAUCUCCCGGCUCAACUGGGAGGGUGCGCCGGAAACUGGGCCGCUGGAGUACGGGAGAGGCAAGCGGAAUUCCAGGUGUAGCGGUGAAAUGCGUAGAUAUCUGGAGGAACACCCGUGGUGCAGACGGCUUGCUGGACCGUGACUGACGCUGAGGCACGAAAGCGUGGGUAGCAAACAGG
Molecule: ribosomal RNA, 253 nt
Filed under: uncultured bacterium
Lineage: Bacteria
Description: partial 16S ribosomal RNA
Rfam family: Bacterial small subunit ribosomal RNA
Source: RNAcentral